RNAcentral lists this ribosomal RNA (397 nucleotides) under uncultured bacterium. RNAcentral describes it as "partial 16S ribosomal RNA". It matches the Rfam family "Bacterial small subunit ribosomal RNA", at positions 523 to 918 of the family's 1533-position model. The record is from RNAcentral.
AUACGAAGGGUGCAAGCGUUACUCGGAAUUACUGGGCGUAAAGCGUGCGUAGGUGGUUGUUUAAGUCUGUCGUGAAAGCCCUGGGAUCAAUCUGGGAAUGGCGAUGGAAACUGGGCGACUAGAGUGUGGCAGUGGGUAGAGGAAUUCCUGGUGUAGCCGUGAAAUGCGUAGAGAGCAGGAGGAACAUCCGAGGCGCAGGCGACUGCCUGGGCCAACACUGACACUGAGGCACGAAAGCGUGGGGAGCAAACAGGAUUAGAUACCCUGGUAGUCCACGCCCUAAACGAUGCGAACUGGAUGUUGGGUGCAAUUUGGCACGCAGUAUCGAAGCUAACGCGUUAAGUUCGCCGCCUGUGGAGUACGGUCGCAAGACUGAAACUCAAAUGAAUGGACGGGG